Non-coding RNA from Equus caballus (horse), 7947 nucleotides. The record is from RefSeq and is a predicted model, not a curated record. NCBI's taxonomy places the organism in Eukaryota, Metazoa, Chordata, Mammalia, Perissodactyla, Equidae.
AGAAGUGCAACAUGUGAACUUAACCGCUGCGCCACCGGGCCAUCCCUGCCUUUUUCUUUUUUUUUACAGAAUAAUAUUUCUGGGCGUCUAAUACAAAUCAGCACAUGGAAACUGACCUCUUUCUUAUUAACGACUGCCUGAUAAUCCAUUGUAGGGAUGCAGCCUAAUUUACUGAACCUAUCUCCUAUUGAUGAUUUUAGGCUGUUUCCAGGUUUUAAAUUAUUUGAUUGCAGGUCUGUCACAAAAUUGUUUUAACUUGACCUGCUAAAAGAAACACAUUUUUACAUCGCAACCCAGUACGCAAACAUACAACACACAAGUACACGCAUUUAUAUAGCAAAAAGUUUUACAAAACAGUAUUUACCCUUCCUAUGGGUCACACACUCUUCUUCUAUUCUACUCUACUCUAUUGUAUUCUAUCUUAUCCUAUCCUAUCCUAUCCUAUUGUAGUCUAUAAAAAAAGGGAUAGUUGAGAUCCUCUGAAUUGCUCUCACCACCAAUGGAUAGGUCACAAUCUGCAGUUUGAAAACACCUUCAGUACAUAUUUGUUAAGUGAAAAGGGAAAGGUGCUUACUUGUACUCUGUACUGUUCUAAACAUUUUACAGAUACGACUUAUGUAAUCCUUCCAAAGUCCCAAUGGGAAAGAAAUUCUUAUUCUCCCCAUUUUUCAGAUGUCAAAACUGAGGCACAGAGAGGUUGAACAAGUUGCCCAAGGUCACAAACUAGUAUGUAGGAGAGCUAUGCUUCAAACCCAGGCAGCCUGGCUGCAGUUUAUGCUCUUAACCAUCAGCCCACGGUACUUGCUAGUCUUAGGAACUGAUGUGAGGCUAAGCGACUAUUUCGAUGUUCAGUUAAGGCACAGUUCUAAACAGCCUCGUUCAGUGUUUCCAUACACCUCCUUCAGGGUCUAUUCCUUUACAAAUGAGUCGCACAGGACAUGACAAGUGUACGCUGCUAUUCACACAUCUUGAGGACUAUAGAAGCUAAACAAAGGCUCCCCCAAUUCACCAGUCUCCUCCAGAACUCUGCGUCAGCAACACAUACUCCACAACCCCCAAACCCCCAACCCCCUCAAAGGAUCAAUGAUGACCACUCUCAGUGCUGGGUUUCUAAGAUUAUGAUAGAGCCACUUCCUACUCAGAGGCAGUCGGGAGCUUCCCCAUUAUUUAUCGAUUUCACCCCAAAGUUAUCAAGUUCUAAAGCCUAAUUAUUGGUGUAAUAGUUAGCUGAGAUCUUUGGAGAGUUCUGAGCCCCUUUAAUGCGUGGCAUAUGUCAGAGGGAUUCAGCUAAUUCACAUAUCUGUCUGCACUAUUAAUAGAGAAGGUUACAUGCCAAUUAUCCAGGCUUCAAUCAGCCUGUUUGGAUACAAUAGAGGCAGUGUUCACACACUUGAUGUGCCACAUUCCUUGCCGACAUCAGAAGCAGCUGGGCCCGAUAAAGACCUCUGGGAUUCUGAUAUUUGGGGAUCACGUCCACGGAAGAGCAGGAACUGAGACUUGAUUGCUCUGUCGACUCCAGAAACGGGACUAGAAGUGCCGCAAUCUCAUCAGAAAAUGCAGCUUCCGGUGGUAUUUUUCACCAGGAACAGAAGCAGAAGUGUGCAGAAUCACCCGAGAAAGCCCCAGCUCUCCUGAGAGCCGUUCUCGAAUUUUGCUGGCACAGAGCACUGGGAGGUGAAUUGCAAUGUCAGCGCCUGGAAAUUGGGACUCAGACUCCUUAAACUCUCUUCUCACAAGGGUGUCUCUGCCUCCAUCGUUUCUGCACGUGCUAAAGGCAGAAGAAGAGGCAGAGGCUGCUGCGUCUCCUGGCAGGCGGGCCAGUUGGAACAAAGACACCAGCGGGGCCACCUCGGAAAGCAAUCUGGAGAAGUCCCAGCAAACAGCAUUUAGGGGAAGGGGAAAAACGCCUGUGGACCUGAUAAUGCAUCACGUCCCAUUGUUAAGGAGGCAAAAAGCAGAAAUUUACCUUGAAGGCUCAUGGGAGUUUGAUUUCCCUGGAAAGACAUGACCCACAUUUCUCACGGAUUGUGGGUCAAUAUUUGACCAUCUCCUCUUAUUUUCUCAUCUUCGUGUUUAAGAUUUAAAAUACAAGUACUAUGUAAUCUCUUUAAAAGAUUCAAACAGUAUAAAAUUAAGGUAGAGUCAAAGUUCCUCAUUCCUUUUGCUCACCCCCACUGGCUCAUUCACUAGAGAUAGCUAACAAUUACUUUUAACACUGUCAAACAUAUCCUUCCAGACGUGUUCGGUAAGUAUGCAAAUAUAUACAUUUGUGUCCAUAUAUUGUCAAAUAUAUGUAUGUGUCUAUAUAUACACACACAGACGUUCUCUGUUUUAAAUAUUCUACAGGAAUCAUAUUUAUAGACAAUAUUAUACAACUUGGUUUUUUUUUCCACUUAAAAUAUCUAUCAUGGGUAAUUAUCUGCGUCUAUGUGCAUUUUUAAAAACUUAGCUAUAAAGUUUGAGAAAAGUGUAAUUAUGCUCCCCAGGGAGGGGGGCAUUCAGACCAAAGGGCUUGUGGGGAAGGGCGAGGCUCCCCCCACCCCCACAGACAAUCACUGUUAGCAGUUUUUAGUGUAUCAUUCCAGAAAUAGUCUACGCGCAGACCAGCAUAUAUGGAUAUCAAAUAUUCACACCUGUCUUUGUCUUUACCAAGUAUCUUUCACCUGGCGUGUUUCACUCAGGUCUCUUGGAGAGCACUUCACAUUAGAAAAAAUUGACCUUUUAAAUGAUGGUGUCGUACUUCUUUGAAUGGCGCUCCUUAAUGUAUUUCACUCGUCCUUUUAGAUGGACUUUGGGUGGAUUUCAGUUUUUGCUUCUACAAACAGUGCUGCAAUAAAUAGUCGAGUGCACACCCUGUGAGUCUUUGCUCAAACACACUCACCCCUUCCUGAAAGCAACACCUAUACCCCACACCUCUCCUCAAAUUGCGUUAAUCCGAAGAACUGAUUGAAUCAACUUUUUUUUUUUUUAAAAAGAGGGUUUAAAACUGAGUAUUAAUAAUCCAUUAAGAAUCUGUUAUGAAUACGUGCCCCUUCCUGCAGUUUUGAAUCUUUCCUCCAGCUUGAAAGUGAGGCUCAUGAAAAAAAAAGAAAGUCAUUUUUCCCCCCCACGCCCACCCCCGCCCAGGAGUCAGCCAUGCCAAAAUCAUUGCAUUAGCAUCCUGUGCCUGCUUAUUACAAAUGCAGGCUGCACGUUGGGUAAUUCCUUCCCAUCUACUUCUUUCAUCCUGGGCUCAGAGAAAGAUCGCAACUCACUCUUACAACUUAGGUACUGCUCCCUGCUCUUUUCUGUAUGCAAGAGUUGAAGCCAUUGGGGAUUGAGAACAAAGUGUGUCCGUGGAAAGAAGUGGGUGGGAUUUGGUGUAUGCAGGAGGAUGGGGGGGCACCCCCUCCCGGGGGAGGAGUCUGAUUUCAUUAUACAGUUGGAAACCUGAUGAAAUCAUGUACACAACUGAAUCUUUUUGCUCAGCUAGUGAGGUCUUUCUGUUCUUUGUCUUGCUGUGUGUGCAGCAAAUUUCUGUUACGCCCGGGAAGAAGGAAAUUUGAGUUAAAGAGCAGGGCAGCUCCAUAUGCCUUGUAACAAGCAAGCUAAUUGAAAAAUUUAAUUCAGGAAGAGAUGCAACGAGGCCAAAAUGAAAGAGGAACUAGGCCUGUCGAUGUUCAGAGCAGGAAAACCGAAGAAGUUAUCUCCAAGUUAAAAAUUAUGCGAGGCUGGAAAAUACAUCACCUGCUGUAUUUGUUAUAGAAAUUCACAGUCUUGUUUGCUGUUUAUCUUGAGGCUCGGGGAGCUCUCCUGCUGCUUAGGAAAAAAGAGGCGAGGUCUGGGAAGAAAUGCUAGUAAUAAGAAAGGGAGGGAUUAGAAACCCCAGAGAGAAUGGGAGGUGUAAAUAAUAUGUGGGCAUUUGACAAUCAGCACAAAGAAAUGGGAGACAAAGGCAAAUGGCUGAUGCCAGAAAUCCUAAACACUUAAGUGGGAAACUUGGACAAGAGAAAAAUGUCCCAAAGGAAAAGGAAAACAAAAUCCCAGGAGAUCUUUUUCCUCUGUGAUGUUGUCUAAUGGAGUAAAUAAAGAUUGGUUUUGCCACGUUGCUCCUGCGAGCAAUGCUAUAUGCAAAGGCACUGGCUUCCUGAUGGCCUUUGAAGCUCUCUCCAGGCCAGCCUGAGCCUUAGGACCAGAUGGAGGAAUCUUGGGGAACAGUUUUCUCCUCCAGAAAGGAGUUGAGAAUGGGCCAGAAGGAGCCCUUGGCAGGGACAGAGUGAUCCCUCUCUCCAAAGAGUCCAAUCUUUUGGGGUCCUCUGCUCUUCUCUUUUUUUCUCCCAGAACCCUACCUUGAAUGGAAUUGCUUAGGAAAGGAGAAAAGGCAUUUUUUAGCUAAAAGCUAAAGUAGGACCAAGUUAAACUUGCUGGACAAUGGAAAUUUCUUCCUGAGGCUGUCUGCUGAGGUCGAGCGUGACACUUCCUAAUUGCAUGACUUGGGCAGACUGCUUUCUCUACCGUAAGAAGAGGAUUAUAACAACAACAAUAAUAAUAGGUAACAUUUAUAGAACCCUUACAUGGAAUAAUUUCUACCCUGAUCCAUUUUAUCCUCUGAACCUAAUGAGUUAGGAUAGUUACGAUGUCCAUUCUACAGAUGAAUGGAGACUCAGCCAGAUCGCCAGCUAGAAAAUGGUACAGGCAAAAUAUAUUUCUAGGUCAGGGGUUGGCAAUUACAGUCCAAUGGCCAAGUCCGGCUCAACGCCUGUUUUUGUAAAUAAAGUUUUAUUGGAACACAGCCACGAUCAUUUGGUUAUAAUUGCCUCUGACUGCUUUGGAGCUAUGAUGAUAGAGACACUAUGGUCUGCACAGCCCAAAAUAUUUACUCUCCAUUUCUUUACAGAAAAAGUUGGCAGAUGCUUGCACUAAAUCCCCCAGGCCCAAGCUCUUAACCCCAUCUGUGUUCUUCUCCUCCAAAAAUGUCUCAUUUUUUUCUUUAAAUGUGAUGCUGAACAGGAAAAACUAAUCUAACAUGUCAGAAAUAAUAAUAGUGAUUGGAGAAUUUAAUUUGUUAGAGGCCCAAGAAUAUUAAAAACAAGCAAAAACAAACUUUUCUUUCUUUUCCUUUUUUUGUCUCAAAAUUAGAAACUGUUUACAUCCUAAAUUUAAGACAAACAAAAAAACCUUGCAUUGCCUUACCAGCUUUAUUGAAACUGCAUAUAAACGCUUAUCUAAAAACCAAAAUUUCUAGAGUCAUUUCCAAAAUAAUGAAGGAAUGGAAUACAGUUUUCCAGGUGACAUAACAUUUUUUUUCCGUAUGUUAUUUUCAAAACUGCAAGUAGAAUAAGUUGUUAAAGUAAGAAGCUCCCAGUUUUGAAUCUGAUGUUCACCCUAUAAUAGUAAUGUACAAACUCUCGGCGUUUGGAGCUUUGUUUAUAAAUGUAAAAUUUCUGUAACCAAAGGGGAAUGAAAACUAAGGACAGUUGGGGUUGCUAACUCAACAGUUAUUUUCUCUUCUUUCCUACAAAUGGAAGUUGGAGAUCUUGGAAACUGAUCCGUGUUGCCACGUGAACUGUUUCUGGUAUUGUAACACUGGUUUAGUUUGUCAUAGGUCUCCCGGAUUGAUGAGUGUAGCUACAUAUCCAGGUUUUAAAAAACGUUAGUGAACAAAAUUAAUAAUAGUAUCUUCUGUAUCUCGUAUCUGCCGGGCGCUGUGGGCUGGGAGUUCUGAAUACAUAGUGCUGAGGGCCGAUAACUCGACAAGCAGGGGGUUACUAUUUGUAUUUCUAGAUGAGAACAAUGAGAUCCAGGUGCAUAAGGUGUCCAGUUAAUACAUGACUGAUUGACCUCGAAAUCCUGAGCCCCGAUUCCAUACUCUUUCCCCUCUAAGAGGAGGUCUGUCACUGAUUGUUCUUCCUUUCAUUGACCCAAUUCUUACCUACUUUGUUGUCUACCAUGUCUCAGGCACUGCACUCAGCUCUGGGGAUUCAACAGCGAACAAAACAGAUAACUAAGUCAACAAGUUCAUGACCAGGAUAUUUUUGGAGGAUGAGGAGUGCCAAGAGGGAAAUUAAACAGGAUAGAUGGGAUGGCAAGUGUCUAAGUCCGGCGUAGCAAUAUAGGAUGGGGAGGCCAAGGAAAAGACUUGAAUGAGGAAUAAAAGCCACAAGAGAAAGAUCUAGAUAAUAGAAGAAAGUUCCAGACAGAGGAAACAGCAAAGCACAUUCCUUGAGAUGGAAAGAUCUUGGUAUGUUGAGAAGUUAUGUUGAUACUUUCUGGCUCUCGCCAAUUCAGCAGCCAUUAAGACUUGUCUAAGCUUGAAGGUCCUAGGUGCUGUCUUCUAAGGGCUGAGCGUUUACCCUCAGUUCUAAGACAUUUGGCUCCGAUUUCCUAACACUGCUAUCUCCUUCUCCUUAUCAGAGGGGAGCAAGCUGUUCCUCAUUUAUUUGUGACUGGAAACAAGAAGUUACCAAUGACUGAGUACACGCCUUGCACUGUACUAACUGCUUAAUUGCAUUAUCUCAUUGAAUCUGCAAAACCACCCCACUGAAUUACGGUAGAACACUCUUAAUCCAGGUCGAUGCUGUGCUGAGAGUUUUAAGGAAAUUAAUUUCUAGAAUUUACAUGUUUAUACUUACAUUUACUUAUUCCUAAAACUGCCUUGGAAUGCUCCUGUAGGCCUAAACUCAACUGGAACAACCCUUUUCUGCCAUUACAGAGAAGUCUGUGGAGGGUGAAUAUGUGUUUCCUUGUGCUGUGGCAGCCAUUUUGUGGCUAUGAGAGGCAAACCUGAAGUUCAAAGUCAAUACACUGAGGUGGGCAGAACAAGAUCAAAAGAACCUAGGACUAGAACAAUGGAGUUAACUAACCCUGGAACUGCCCUAUCAAGGAGGACAUUUAUGCCAUUUUUAGAUGGGUUCUCUGUUUCCUGAAGCUCUAAGCUCCUAUUUUACAAAAUAAGGAAACUGGAGCACAGAGAGGUUAAGCUAUCCGUCUACAGUCACACAGCUGGAGCUUCCCAGUGCUGUCAGGAUCAAGUCCAAGCUUGGGUGUUUCAGCACGGCUAAAAUCCCCCGCCGGACCUGGCCCCCUGGAGGCUCACCAGGAGCAACGGUCCCUCUUCUGUGGGCGUGGUUUCGAGGCUCAGAUGAAGUAACGCCUGUCACGCUGUUCCUUGGUCCUUGACAUGGAGGAGGGGAUCAACACGUGGGAGCUCUGUCGCUAAGACCUGGGAUCUGCUGGGAAUCAGGGAGGCCAACUAACUCAGCUACCCAGUGGUUCUCAACCGGGGAUGGGGGAGGAUUUUGCCCCCAGGCGCACUGGCAAUAUCUGGAGACGUUUUUGGUUGUCACAAUGUGGGGAGAGUGCUACUGGCAUCUAGUGGGUGGAGGUCAGGGAUGCUGCUAAAUACCCUGCAAUGCACAGGUCAGCCUCCUCCAUCCCCACCCCACCCCCACCCUCCCAUGACAGAGAAUUAUCUGGACCAAAACGUCACUAGGGCUGAGGUCAAGAAACACUGGAUGAGGCCACCCGGAAGAAGCUUCCCUCUUCUAUGCUCCAGAUCAAAUCCAUCGCCACUUCAGUUUCUCUGCAUGCCACUGUCUCUUGCUUGAGUGUACUAAAGUGGCCUAGUCUUUUCUCCAGGAGCACGCUUCCUACAGAUCUUCAACGGCUGGUUCCUCGUUCAAACGUCCCUCCCCAGGAAGCCUUCUCUGACCACCCACUGCAAGGCUGCUCCCGCCCUCCCUGGUUCUCCUCCUGUAGGCAGCCUAUUCGUUUCCUUCUAAUAUCUAUCACCAUCAGAUGGGACAUUUAUUUUCUUAGUUGAUCAGUUGAUUGUCUCCUGCACUCGAAUGUGAGCACCAUGAAGAGGAAGAGUCAGGUCUGUCUUGAUCAGGGGUUUGUAAACUACCACCUGUGGGCCAGAUUUGGCCCUUUGCCUCUUUUUGUAAAUAAAGCUUUAUUGGAACAAGC